CAACUUUGCAUCAGGACACUCCAGCUCAACAUCAGGCACCUCCACAUCCACACUGGGGCCUGUUAAAUCUCCCUCCAAUUUUGGCAAAGACACAUCCACAUCCCCUUUGACUUUGGGGCCUUUCAAGUGUAAGUCCACAUCAGGCAUGGAGAUCUUGGGGGCCUUGAAGUGCAUCUCAGGCAUCUUAAACUUGGGCCCUUUCAACUUUGCAUCAGGACACUCCAGAUCAACAUCGGGCACCUCCGCUUCCACAAAAGGACCUUUGACAUCAACUUGCGGCCCUCUGAGAUCACCUUCCAGUUCUGGCACAGAAGCAUCUAUCUCUCCCUUCAGUUUGGGUCCCUUCAAAUUCAAGUCCACAUCAGGCAUGGAGAUCUUGGGGGCCUUGAAGUGCAUCUCAGGCAUCUUAAAC
Molecule: long non-coding RNA, 412 nt
Filed under: Homo sapiens (human)
Lineage: Eukaryota; Metazoa; Chordata; Mammalia; Primates; Hominidae
Description: HSALNT0176216
Source: RNAcentral